CGGGGCGGGUGGAUGGUGGUGAGGGGACGGCUUUUGGGGUCCGGCUGUACGUUGGGGCGGAGGGAAGGCUUCUCCGAAGCGCUUCGGUCGGAAGAGCUCGGCAUUUGUGAAGGUACCGGCUGCUAACGGGAGGCCUGCCCGGGGGUGUCCCCUUCCCGCCGCCGUCCCUCCCGGGGGCGGCCGGGGUGCGCCAGCACGCCGCGGGGACCUGUGCGUGCUCGGCGUUAGCCCCGAAUGCCCUUUCACUGGACAAUAAACGCCGGUUUUGAGAGGGGAAGGGGAAAAAAAAGCCACGUUGGUUAGGCACGGCGAUAUUACAGCACCCAUCUUGGCUUCCUCGUGUCCUUACAAAAAUAUCCUGAAUAUUACACACCUGGUUGUACGCAGGCUUUUUAAGACGUUGCCCGAGGUUACCAAUUCGACGUGGUUGAGGUGGUGGAGAUGUGUCAGACCGUUUCUGCUACACGCACUUGGAAAGGGACGAGAGCAGAGAGUACUCCCUCGUAUGGUAAAGCGUCUUGUGUCAGUGAGAUGUCAUCCCACAACUGAGCAAACAGCAAGAUGUGAAUUUAAAACAUACAGUAUACUUUUCUUCUACAUUAACGGACUGUUUGCACACAAGAACUGACAGCAGCACAGAUUUGAUAUCAAGUCCUUCCCUCAAACGUUGUAUUUAAAUUCAGAAUCUCUUUUGUUGCUCUUGGAGAAAAAUACUGAAUAAGGGUCCAGGAACUUUUGGUUUUUUUUUUUUACAGUGAACUGAAGUUUCAAUUUGUCUUAUAAUGACAUAUUUUAUUCCCUAAACCAAGGCAAGUGUUUUAACAUGCAUAUAGAAGACAACUGAAAGAGCUGUAUCACCUGUGAUUAAAUUUAACCAAAACUACUAUUACACCCCCCCCAUCUUUUUUAGAUUUUAUUGUUUAUGUUUGCAUUUAUUUCAUGGACAGUAUUUACCUACAGCACAUCACUUCCCAGUUUACACUGAAUAUAAUUUCCCAUUUCCCAGUAUCAAUAGUAAUGCUACAGGGCAAUGGGAAGGAAGCGUAUCAUGGGGCAGGAAUUCCAAAGGUUUCAAAUGAAUAAAAGGCAAGUGAAGAAACAGUGGAAGAACCAGGUGCUGUCUAUGGAUGACAGGACAGCAGCUGCAUGCCAGCAGACAAGAAUAAUAAGGAAGAAAUGCUUAUCAGGGAUAAAGAGCUGGCUUUUUCACAAGCAUGCUGUACUGUAGCACUGUAUGUUGGGAAUUCAAAUAUUAUCUGGCAUGUCCAGCAUUUCUGAAAACAAAACACUCAUCCAAUUGCCCUGCAUAACCAUUUGAAAAAGGGU
Phalacrocorax carbo (great cormorant) is the source of this 1326-nucleotide non-coding RNA. The record is from RefSeq and is a predicted model, not a curated record. Lineage: Eukaryota; Metazoa; Chordata; Aves; Suliformes; Phalacrocoracidae.